Non-coding RNA from Triticum aestivum (bread wheat), 136 nucleotides. The record is from Rfam. NCBI's taxonomy places the organism in Eukaryota, Viridiplantae, Streptophyta, Magnoliopsida, Poales, Poaceae.
CUUCUGCUCCCUCCGUCCCAAAAUUCUUGUCUUAGAUUUGUCUAAAUACGGAUGUAUCAAAGUCACGUUUUAGUAUUAGGUACAUCCGUAUCUAGACAAGUCUAAGGCAAGAAUUUUGGGACGGAGGGAGUACAUU